Molecule: ribosomal RNA, 496 nt
Filed under: uncultured bacterium
Lineage: Bacteria
Description: partial 16S ribosomal RNA
Rfam family: Bacterial small subunit ribosomal RNA
Source: RNAcentral
GAUGAACGCUGGCGGCGUGCCUAAUACAUGCAAGUCGAGCGAACGGACGAGAAGCUUGCUUCUCUGAUGUUAGCGGCGGACGGGUGAGUAACACGUGGAUAACCUACCUAUAAGACUAGGAUAACUUCGGGAAACCGGAGCUAAUACCGGAUAAUAUUUUGAACCGCAUGGUUCAAAAGUGAAAGACGGUCUUGCUGUCACUUAUAGAUGGAUCCGCGCUGCAUUAGCUAGUUGGUAAGGUAACGGCUUACCAAGGCAACGAUGCAUAGCCGACCUGAGAGGGUGAUCGGCUACACUGGAACUGAGACACGGUCCAGACUCCUACGGGAGGCAGCAGUAGGGAAUCUUCCGCAAUGGGCGAAAGCCUGACGGAGCAACGCCGCGUGAGUGAUGAAGGUCUUCGGAUCGUAAAACUCUGUUAUUAGGGAAGAACAUAUGUGUAAGUAACUGUGCACAUCUUGACGGUACCAAAUCAGAAAACCACGGCUAACUACGU